Non-coding RNA from Nicotiana tabacum (common tobacco), 491 nucleotides. The record is from RefSeq and is a predicted model, not a curated record. Lineage: Eukaryota; Viridiplantae; Streptophyta; Magnoliopsida; Solanales; Solanaceae.
GGAAUUCAGGGAAGGUGAAAGUGAGAAGAAAGUUGAGAGAGCCGAGAUUUUGUUUCCAAACAAGGAGUGAUAUUGAUGUUCUUGAUGAUGGUUACAAAUGGAGAAAGUAUGGUCAAAAAGUUGUCAAGAAUAGCCUUCAUCCAAGGAGUUACUACAGAUGUACACAUAGCAAUUGUCGAGUAAAGAAGAGAGUUGAACGACUUUCAGAAGAUUGUCGUAUGGUAAUAACAACCUAUGAAGGUAGACACAACCAUUCUCCUUGUGAUGAUUCAAACUCUUCUGAAAAUGAUUGUUUCUCCUCUUUCUAAAGUACCACCUACUUAUUAUAUAUCUAUCUCCAUAUACACACAUUUGCCUUUGUGAGGAACAAGGAAGCUAAUUAUUUGUGUGUCGGGUUCCGUUGAACGCACUUAUUUUUGUUCCAACAAUGUAUUUGUAUUAAGAAUUUUAUUAAAUAUGUAUACAUAUCAAAUUUAGAACUUAGUUGUUAA